UUUAUUAAUUAAUAAUUAUAAGUUAAGUGUGAUUUUAGAAAUAUUUUUGAAUCAGUGAAUUUUGUGAUUUAAAAGAAAUUAUUAGGUAAAUUGGGUCGAAAACGAGGUAUUGAGACCUCGAUAUUAUAAACUGAGCCGUAAAUAUUUAUAAAAAUAUUUACGGAGUGUCAAUAGGAUAAUAUUAAAGUUUCGUUAAGAAAUUUUAACGCUUUGAUAGUUAAUUAUGAAAAGGACUAAAUUGAAGUAAUGAUAAAAGUUUAAUUAUAGAUUAAAGAAAAGUUAAAGGACCAAAUAGGUAAUUCUGCCUUUUUCUAAAGUUGAGGCGGCAUAACAAAAGAAAAAUCUAAGAUAUUUUAAUUUAAAAUAUAUCUAUUAUAUUAUACAUGCGUAAGUAAUAAUUAUGUUUUUAUAUUAUAUUAUUAUUAAUAUAUUAUAUUAUAUUAUAUUAUUAUAUUAUUAUAUAUAUAUGACAAAGAAAGAAAGAAAAGAAACAGAGAGCAAAACAAAACAGAGAAGGGUGAAAGAAAGAAACAGAGAGCAAAACGAAACAGAGAAGGAAGGAAGGAAAGAAAGAAAGAAAAAGAAAAAGAGAAAUUUGGGGUUUUAAGGUUCAGAGUUAAUUUGCUAAUGUCGUGUACGAGUCAUUGUCCGAGAAAGGAAAG
This is a long non-coding RNA of Gossypium raimondii (Peruvian cotton), 662 nucleotides long. RefSeq lists it as uncharacterized. The record is from RefSeq and is a predicted model, not a curated record. The transcript is spliced from 2 exons. NCBI's taxonomy places the organism in Eukaryota, Viridiplantae, Streptophyta, Magnoliopsida, Malvales, Malvaceae.